ACCUUACCUCUUGCCGCGUUGUCUCGGCGGGAGGCGGUGGGCGUCUCGCGCCCCUAGCGGGCCGUGCCGCUCCCGUCCCCGCCGGCGGCGCCAAACUCUAAAUUUACAGCGGACUGUACGUUCUGAUUUACAAAAAAAAACAAGUUAAAACUUUCAACAACGGAUCUCUUGGUUCUGGCAUCGAUGAAGAACGCAGCGAAAUGCGAUAAGUAAUGUGAAUUGCAGAAUUCAGUGAACCAUCGAAUCUUUGAACGCACAUUGCGCCCGGCAGUAAUCUGCCGGGCAUGCCUGUCCGAGCGUCAUUUCUACCCUCGAGCGAGUCCAGCAUCUAGGUGCUGUGCCCGCCCGGCGUUGGAGCACUACGGGAAGCCCUGUGCUGUCCCCCGUAGGCCCCGAAAUGAAGUGGCGGUCCUGCCGCGGCGCCCCCUGCGUAGUAUAACAGCUCGCUUCGGGACCCGGUGGAGGCCUGCCGUCAAACCUAUACUCU
This 487-nucleotide ribosomal RNA is filed under the name Cephalotrichum oligotriphicum. Its description in RNAcentral is "eukaryotic LSU rRNA". The stretch from base 149 to 302 matches the Rfam family "5.8S ribosomal RNA". The record is from RNAcentral. Lineage: Eukaryota; Fungi; Ascomycota; Sordariomycetes; Microascales; Microascaceae.